CCACGUUUAACUGGCCAGAAUUGUUUUCCUAAUUCUCUUCCUUGCCUCCAAAACCUUUUCCCCAAAUAAUUCCCUCCUCACUUUGCCACUUUAGUUUAAUCGGCCAAACCUAAUUCCAAUUCUCCCACCCUCCAAAUUUCUUGUGUGUGAUAUCAUUCUUUCUCCUGGAUUUUGCAAGAAAUUUUAUUCAGCUCGUCAAAUUGCCACGAUUGGCUGCAGUCGAUUUUGUAGUCGAUUUUGCGAGAGGGAAUUAUUCAGCCACGAUUGGCUGUGAUAUAAUUCUUUCUCCUGGACAUAAUAUUCAUCUUGGGUCAAAAAAGUUUCGGCUGAAUCGACUACACAUUUUGAGCUCUUCAAGUUGUCUUCAAGGUAUGCCAAUAAUCCUACUAUUAAUUUGUAAAUUGUCUGGAAAAUAUAAGUACAUAAUCUUGAAUUUUGAGAUUACGUUUUCAAUUUCUUGCUAUGGAAAUACAAAUAAAUAUGGAGGCUGUUCUUCUGUAUUAAUUUUGAAAUUACAUUUUGAGAUUUGGCAUAUUUGAAGUUGUCCUUUUUGGUUGGUUGUUGCGCUAAGAUAGAGUGGGAUUUUAUCCCCAAUUUUAGGGAGAUCACGGGACUAGGAAAUAAAGGGGAAGUGGCUAGAAGAGGGGUAAUGGAAUCUGCCGUAGCUACUGGUGUUUGAUAACUGUGCUAUACAGAACACAAGCUUUCCCAUUGGUUCAAUCAAAAACUAAGCACUUCUAAUGGAUUUUGUUAUACACGUGAUUAUUUUAAUCAAAGGAUGUCAGAAUUUGCCAUAGAUUAAGGGGUAAUGGAAUUUUUUUCAAGGCAUGGGGAUAACAUAACAUGGGAAUAUAUGAUUUUUCUUUGGUGGAGUGCAGUGCAAUUUGCUUGCUUUGUGACUUUUGGCAUUAUUUUUGAGAUUUUAAUUCAUUUUUUCGAUUUUUCGAAGAAGAUGGUUUUUCUGAAUUAGAAUGUGUAUACUAUAAUCAAGAAUUUAGUACAUUUGGCACUUUGGCAAUGGAUUCCAAUUCAUCAAUUUCUUUUGUGUAUGUUAUUUCUAUGGUUGGAAAGGCAUUGUGUGUUUAAUAUUGCAAUGAGAAUGAUGAUACUCUGAUUGCAAAUAAUAUAUUCAUGUAAAGAUGUCCUUAAACUGGGACAAAUAAUUUAGUCAAGAUUCUUCUUCUCAUUCUAUAUUAACAGUGCACUUUGCAGCUGGUUCUGUAUUGAGUCUUUUGAUCACUAUGUGUUAUUCUGCAUUAACAAUUCACUGUUUGUUUUUAUGCGAAUUCAUCCAUGAUAAACAUGCAAAAUAUUUGCUUCUUUACCCUAAAUUUAUUAAGAAAAAUGUUCAUUCGGCCCAAAUAUUUGUUUUCUAUGUCUGAUCUUUCCAUGUAAUCUAGAAAUCCAGAAGAUGAGGAUGGAACAAAAUUUGUUGUAAAUCUUCAAAUAACUCUAAUCAGAUGAUUAAAUUUCCAAAAUUUGAUUUAUCUAAGGUCCAUAGCCAUUCAAGUCAUGCAAUCAAAAUAAUGUACCAUUUUCAACUUUAAGAUUAUUCAAUUAACGAAAAAUAAAAAGUUCGGAGAUAAUAAAUUAAAAAAUAAGAAAGAAGUGAGCUAAGUUUGCAUUGUAUUUUUUCUUGAUCAGGGCUAUUGAAUAAAUCUCAACCAUUUUUUUGAAGGAUAAGCAUAAUUAGCUCUAGACUUAUAACAUAAUGUCUAAUAAGGUGGUCUUUUCAACUUUUUUCAAUGCUGAUAAUUAAUUAAUACUUGCCUUCAUUUGCAUUUAAGUUCAUCAUUAUCUCUCUAAUUUUCCUUUAUUUUGGGAAGUGCCAAACAACUUAAGUAGGUCCAAGCAAAAACAAAAGUAAUUUUGUCAUUCCAAAGCCUUCCACAAUUUAUGUAUACGAAAAUUUCUAUAUGGAAUAGAUGGAUCCUGUCAUGGAUUCUCAAUUAUUUGGAUCUAAAAUCUUACCUGCAUCUUUAAUUGUUCACACGUGAGAUGGUAUGAUACAAUAUUCAUUCUUAAAAUAAUUCAGUAAAAGCUAUUGGAUAAGUUUUAGAGAAUCAAUAUUCUAACAAGUUGUUAUUACUAUUGUUAAUAUGAAAUUAAAAGCGCGAUUUAUUCAUAGAUCCCAGCAGGUAAAGCAAUCUUUCUUUUCUCUUUUGAGAAAAGCAUGAAAAAUUAACUAUUAAAUUUAUGAUGAUCUGCUGGUCAAAUAAUCAGUUUUUUUCAUCUAUAGAUAAGCAGAACCAAGAAUAUAUCACUGGUUUGUACAUGUCAUCACCGAGGUCCUACAACCACUUGAACCAAGGAUAUUAAGAUGAGAAUAUAUAACAUAACAAUUGAGAUGUCAACAAAUGGAAUUGAUAAUAAAUGAAGUGAAAGACGACGACUCAUAAUGUAAUUGGACCAUAUUUUUGUUUAGCUUAAAAGAAAUUUAUGCACCAUUAGAACAAGUUACGAAGAGGAAGAGGUAGAUCAAUAUUAAUAUGAUGUUUCCACAGUUAACAAGGAUAUAUUUUCAUCAAAUCUUCUAAUAUUAGCUAUGAAAUGACCAGAUAGACAGGGAAAAAAAAUCACACUGCAAACCUCAAAUUUAAAAGGAACAAGACCUUUUUUUUUUUUUUUUUUUCUCUUCCUCUUUCUUUUAGCCAUCUUACCUUUGGGGCAGUACCUCAACAUCUUGUUUCUUGCUCCUUAUAAAUGAAUAAAGUUGGCUCGAGCUCUUUCUUGUAUGUAUGAGCAAUUAGAGGAGAGCGAGAAUGAGGAAAGGGAUGGGGUGAAUCUGCAUCACGAGGACUAGAUGCAAUGGAUAUAAAUAUGUCAUGUUAAUCGUAAAAAUUAUUUUACUGGGUAUUUUGAAUGAUUAAUGAAGAAAAAUGAUAUCCUCAUGUUUAUUUUAUGCCUAAUUUUUUUAUUGUAUUAUUUCUCAAUUGAAUAGAAAGUUUUGAUUAUUACUUAAAAUAUAUCGUACGUGUUGCACAAAGGUUGUUGCAUAAGAGAGCUUCCUUCAAUUCAAAUUGCAGCAAGGUAAAUUAUAUAUAUAUAUAUAUAUAUAUAUAUAUAUAUAUAUAUAUAUAUAUAUGUAUAUGUAUAUAUAUAUAUAUUUGAGUAUAUAACUAGCUAAAUAAUAAUGGUGUCAAUUUCUGGGAUUUUAUGUGACUUGUAUCAUAAAUGGAAGGGACUAGAAACUUGUGUGGUCAAAUAAGUGUGUUGCAUGCAGCUUUUAGUCUAGUUAACAAAACAAAUCUAUAAAUUUCAUAAUUAAACUUUUGCGUUUAAUAUUUGUUAUGUUGACAUAUAUUUUUGUGUAUCAUAUCCAUUGUAGAAUUAUAUACAGCAGGUGAGCUAUGGAUAGAAAUUGGAUACAUAAUCUCGAUAGAACUAGCGUUGAAUAUUUGUCAGGUAUUGAGGAAUUGAUUAGAGUUGCAAGCAACCAUGUCAAUCAUUGAGGUCAUUCCAAGUGCCCUUACCAAAAGUGUAAUAAUUGCUCUUGGAGGCCAUUGAGUGAAAUACGACAAUACUUGAUCAUGCAUGGGAUGUCAUACAAUUACACUACAUGGAAUCGUCAUGGAGAAUGAUUGGGGACUGCGUCAGGUUCCUCUUCAAAUAACUUGUUAUGCAACCCAAGAUUGGCUGAUGACAUUGAUUGUGAUAAUGAUCAAGUAAUGGAAAUAAUCAAUAAUCUGUAUUCACAUGCCUCGCACCAUCAUGAGCAAAAUGUUUUAGAGGAAGAUGAAGUAUUACUUGAGGAUGAUACAUUAGGAAAUAAUCAAACGUCGAAGGUGCAUAGGGAAGAGAUAGAUAAGUACGAAAGGUUGCUGAAAGAAGCACAAAAAGAACUUUACCCUGGUUGUAAAGAUUUCUCUGCGCUGACAUCUAUUAUAGAGUUGAUGCAACUAGAAGUGAGGAAUUUGAUGACCAACAAAUGCUUUGAUGAGCUUAUGAGCAUCUUGAAAAGGAUGCUUCCGAACGAAAAUCUAUUGCCUUCUACUCAUCGGCAUGCCCGUAAAAUUUUAAAAGAUCUCAGAUUGGGCUAGGAAAAAAUCCAUGCAUGUAAAUAUGAUUGUGCACUAUUUUACAAGGAAAAUGAAGGGUUAGAUAAGUGCCCCAUUUGUAAUGAGCUAAUAUAUCAGAAUAGUUCUGAAGAUAAGAAAAAGAUUCCUCAAAAGGUAUUGCGUUAUUUUCCAAUAAAGCUAAGAUUACAGCGACUAUACAUGUCAAUGCAUAUUUCCAAUGAUAUGAAAUGGCACAAGAAUGGGCGAGUUGAUGAUGGUGACAUGAGGCAUCCAGCACACACAAUUGCAUGGAAGGAAUUUGAUAAGAUGUAUCCUAAUUUUGCAGCAGAGUCACAAAACAUAAGGUUGGGCCUUGCAACUGAUGGUUUUAGCCCAUUUAGGGAUAUGAACAAACCUUAUAGCAUGUGGCCUGUGGUGGUUGUUCCUUAUAACUUGCCUCCAUGGAUGUGCAUGAAAAAAGAAUUCACCAUGCUAACCUUAUUAAUUCCUGGUAGACACGAACCUGGCAAGGACAUUGAUGUUUAUUUUUGCCCUCUAAUCAAUGAACUGAAUGAAUUAUGGGAAAUUGGUGUGCGUACAUAUGAUAAAAGCACUGAUUCCAUGUUUAACUUACGUGUUGCUAUGCUGUGGACUAUUAAUGAUUUACUUGCUUAUGGAAAUUUAUCAGGUUAGAGUACGAAGGGUUAUAAUGCUUGCCCUAUUUGUAAUGAUGAUGGAACAUCUGAAUGGUUUAGUGACAAGGUUUGCUAUAUGAGGCAUCGACAAUGGUUGCCAUGGGAUCAUGUGUGGUGCAAGAGAAGGGAUUCCUUUGAUGGGAAAUCCAAAUUUCAUGCAAGAUCUAGACAAUUAUCGAGCGAUGAAAUUUUAUCUCAAGUACAAAAUAUAAACUUUGGCCAGAUUGGUAAACAUCCUGAUAACCCAGACAAAAAAAAAUGAUUGGAGUUACCAAAAUAUGCAUCAAGGAGGAGUAUUGAUGGUUGACACAUAUUUUAGGAAUAUUUUAGAAGAUCCUAGAAUUGCUUGGCAAGAAUAACAAAAAAUUAAAUUAUGUAGAAUUCACUAGUGAAACAUGGGCACUAAGAAAGCUUGUUGUGGUUUGUAGGCACAUGGAGAGUUAUCUAGAAAAAAUCAUAUUUAAGCUAUGGUCCAUAAAUAAGGCACGAGUCUCUCAUUUAUAAGCAAGCAAAAGCCAUUGUCAUUCUAAUAAAGUUCAUUUUUCUUAUCCACUUUGUCUACUAACUUACUUUCUAUCAAACUCUUCCAUACUACUAACUUCCAACAAAAAGCUAAUUACUUUCUACCUCCAAAAUUAUUCCAUACAAAACAUAUUAAACCAUCUAAUAUAAUCUUAUCACUACAAGAAAAACCAUCAAAAAUCGAUAACGACAGAAGAAGAACGAGGCUUGUGCUCGACGUAGAGAGUUUGCAACUCUACGAAAAUUUUGUUUUGAUUUUUGAUUUGUUUAAAUGUCAAAACCCUAUAUAUUGUUAAUAAUUCAUGAAUUUGCGUGAUUAGGGAUAAUUUGAUGUCUUUUGCCUAAAUUUUCUAUUUUAAGUUGUAAUCAUGGGCUGAACUUUGUUUGGCAAAUUUUGACACAAAUUUUAAUGUGUACAAUUUUUUGCGUUUAAGCGUGUAUAGUCGUCAACAAAAUGGGUUAGCCACAUUAUCAUGUGCAUACUACAUAUGUGAUGUAUUUUGAAAAUGCAUCAUGCAUAUGAGGGCAUAUGCAAAGCACAUGCGCGUAUUUUAGAACACUGAUUUUGUUAGAUGAAGGAUGAAAACAAUCAGAUCAUUUUCUAACGUUAAUUCACCAGUUGAUAAAUUUACAACGGUUGUAUCAAAAUGGUUUUUACCCUUUGAUCUUAGCUAUAAGGUUGAAAUAUGGAGAAUUACAUGUAACUUAAACAUAGUCUAAUCCAAGGAGGGAGCAGAAAAUGUGCACAUCAGUUGGAAAUUACUAAUGCCCGGUUGGAGGAAGAUUGUCAAGUCACCCCAGUAAAUGUGCACAAAUUAGGAUCUUCAUGCACAAAGAUGGCCUUGGAAGAUGGAUAACAAUGAAAAAUAAUGACCAGUUCAGAUUUGAUCCAAGUUUAGUAGCAACCUCGACUCCUGCACAUAAUGAUUUAGCAGAGCAACUUCAACAACGUGAUGAUCUUUGUGACUUAAUGCAUGCUUUUAUGUUUGCAACUUAAUUAGAGAUGUGUAAGUUUAUAUAUGAAUAGAGGAUCGAGGCUAUUGAUUAUUAUUGGAUCAUUCUUUCGACUGAGGCAAAGAUCGACAAGAACUGAUAAUUGAUAAAUCGUUCAUAUAUCACAAAGGUAGUCAUAAUCCUAGUACUAUACCUCAUUGAAUGUUACUCUAAAAAUAUUCAUGCAUGCUCAACUUAGCUAAAUUAGUUAGUAAUUUGAAAAUCAAUCUUCGAAAACCAUAAUUAAUCUUGUGCGUUCUUUUUAAAAUUCAGUAUGAUUAAAGUGAAGUCAAUAAAAAAUCUUCAAUUGUCCAUUCAUCAUUUUUUACUUGUAAACAAUUUAUUCUUUUGUGGAAUAAAAUUGAUAACGUUAUGCAUAAUAUCAUAAGAUGAUUUCUUUAUACUAAGUGCUGGAGCUGUACUAACUAUUAGCUUUAUUGAACACUUGAAAUAGAAGUUCGUCCCACCAAUGGAAAAGGAAUAUAAAAUAAAACCCAGAUUUGAUUAAUUUUUUUGUAUCAAACUAGAAGAUAAUGAUUUUGUUACUAUAAUAUGAAUAGAUGUUUAGGAAAUACCCUUAUAGCGUUCUUUACAAAAAAUUCCUUCUUAAUAUUCGUUUUUAUUCUACCUCAAACCUUUUUAUCUUCUUUAGUAUUUUCCAAGAAGUCAAUGAAUUAUAGUAUUUUUUUUUUUUUUAAGUGUGGUCACAAUAAUAAGGAUCCUCAAUUGGACAUUAACAUAUAUGUAUAUUUAUAAUACUUUCAACUUUUAUUAUCAAAUUGUCUUCCAUUGCCUGGAACAAAAGAAUAUGGAAUACUGAAUAUGCAUACUAUGCUUUUCCAUAUGAAUUUCGUUGUAUUAGAAUCUGUGAUCCUUAUAAUUAACUCUGCUUCAAACCGUUUUGUAAAGUAAUCAAUAGCAACUAUCAUAUAUUGGGCUUCGGCUUGGCCCUUGGAUAAUGGACCCACCACGUAUAUGCUCCAUCUUUUAAAAAAAGUAGUGGACUACUUAUUGUGAUUAGUUCUUGGGGAUGAAGUGGAGAUAUGUUAGAGAACAUUUGGCACAUGUCACACAGCCUACCAUGAUUCAAAAAGUCCUUAUUCAUGGUCGGCUAGUAAUACCUCUGCCUCAAGAACUUUUUGCCGUUGAUAAACCACCUUCACUACUGUAACAAAUUCAUUCUUGUACCUCACACAAUAGAUUAUAACUCGUCCAUUAUCAUAAGGGAAUGGAGAAAUUACGUUUGGACAUGAUUUCACACAAUAGAUUAUAACCCAUCCAUUAUCGUAAGGGAAUGGAGAAAUUACGUUUGGACAUGAUUUCAUCCUUUAAUAUGAACAGAUUGCUCCCAGCUUCAGCUUUUUAGCCUCGGCCAUAUCGGUUAGAAGCUUAUGAUUCAUAAAGUAAUUGAAAAAAUCUUUCAUCGACUUGGCUUGUUGACAAAUAAUAAUUAUCUCAUAUUUAGCCUUGGUAGAACACUUCUCUAGGUACUCAAUUCGAACAACCUUCAACAGUUGUGAAUCCUUAUUACUAGUCAAUUUGGAUAGAGCAUCGGCACUAUUGUUCUCCGCAUGAGGGUUUUGAAGAAUUUAAAAUUUUCUUGAAAUUUGAGAGUAAAUUCAUGAAAUGUUUCAAAUAAAGAGCCAUGUUCUUGUCCUUAGCUGCAAAGCGACCACUCAUUUGAUUCACUACAAGCUUGGAGUCACUAUCUCUUUUACACCAUCUCCUUUACUAAUUCCAUCCCAGCUAUCAGUGCCUCAUAUUCUGCCACAUUAUUUGGAGCUUGAAAAUUGAACCUCAAGGCGCAGUUAAGAUGAUGUCCCUCUGGCCUAAUUAGCAAUAUGCCUCGUCCUUAUCCCAACGCAGACUUUCAGGAUGAGACAUCAAACAAUUUCCAUUGUUUAUACCUGGCUGACUCAAGUUCUUUAACAUCCGUCGGAACUACAGGCCCCUCAGUGAAUGCCACACAUCUUGAUAGUUGUCCUCGGUCAAGACUGAAUGUUGAAUUGACUGAGUUCAAUUGUCCACUUCGUUAACCUCCCUAAAAAGUCAGGCUUUUGGAGAACUUGCCUCAACAGAUAAUUUAUUAAGUACCUCUAUGAUAUGGACUUGAAAUACAGCCUAAAUUUCCUAGAAGCUAUAAUUAAUGCAAGAGACAAAAUUUCCAUGUCUGAUGUAUGCCUAAACUAGUAAAGCACUAGUGGCCCUUUCCAAAUCAGACAAAUAUAUUUACAGGACUUCCCAUUGAACUGGUUUAGACAAUGAUGAGCUUUACUGAAAUGCUUCUUUAGGGCCACGAUGACCUCUUCACAUUCUGAGAUCCAUUCGAAUUUCUUCCUUUCCUUGAUAGUUUUAAACAAGUGGACUUCAAGACUAAGCGACUUAUGGUUGCUAUCCUUCCAGUUCGACUUUGCACCUCCUUCAGAUUUUUACGAGAUUCAUUUCUAAAUAGUCCUAAUCUUUUCUGGAUUGGCUUCAACUCCUCUUUCGUUAACCAUGAAUUCCAAAAACUUGCUGAGGCAGCCUUAAAUGCACACUUCAUGGGAUUAAGCUUCGUCUGAUAGUGUCGAAUAAUGAUAAAUGCUCAUUCGAUGUGAGUUUGUGCUUGCUUGCCUACAAGAUUUGCACCAACAUAUUAUCUAUAAAUAACUCCAUAAUUUUUUGGAUGUAAUCAGCAGAUUCAACUCACUAAUUGCUGAUAGGUGACCCAACAUUCUUCAAUUCGAAAGGUAUCACUAUAACAAUAUAGACCUGGAUCUAUGAUGAAUGAGAUAUGUUCUUCAUUUGGUUCAUACAAGGGGAUCUCAUUGUAAUCUGAAUAAGCAUCCAUGAAGCUUACCAUAGCACAUCUGUUGUCGUAACAAUUAAUUGAUCAAUGUAAGAUACGGGGAAGAUAUCCUUCGGACAUGCCACGUUUAGAAUACCUUUGGACUUUCGUAUUGGGAUUUAGGUUGGCCACCAAAGUUCAAAUAAUGUAGUUCCUAAUAUAAAGUCAUUUGAUAUUAACUUGUCAACCUCUUCAACGUGGCUGCAUAUCUCUCUAGGUUGAGGAGCAUCCUCAUUUCUUUAUGAGGAUGAAAUUUGGGAUCAGUAGAAUAGCACGAUACAUUCGAAUUGAUCCCCACCAUAUCUUCAUACCUCCAUGAAAAAACAUCUGAAUUCCUUUCAGAAACUCUUCUAGACCCUUUCCUAGUCUCUCAGACAAAUCAUUUUCAACUUGGAGUAUUUUGAUUCUGUAUCGCCACAUGCUUGUUUCUAGUAAUUAUCAUAUCUAUCUGGAUUAUAUAUUUAUUGAUGCUACAAUUUUAAUUAAGUGUAACAUGUUUAUAAUUUUAGCAAACAGAUUAUAUUUUAUCCAAUAUAUCAAUUCUAUCAUGUACUUUUAACUUGUCUUACUUUUAAAUUAAGCUAAACGUCAAUUUUAGAAUAUUUCCUACUUAACAAGCACAUUUUAGUGUAAUUUAGUAUAAAAUAAUAUUUUAAAUCGAUAAAAGUAAUUAAAUGAUUCAAAUAAGUUAAUAAGAUAAAUAAGAAAUCUUAAAAUUAAUUAGCACGAAUUAAGCCAAUGAAUUGUCAUUAGGUUAGAAAUUAAGACCUAUUUUACUUCACCUCCUUACAUAUAAAAGUCGACUGCAUAACAUUCAAGAACGAUUUCGUGCUUUAUAUUCUAGAAAUGGGAAAUUUGUUGUGAGGUGGUAAAUUUUUAUUAUAUUACUUCAAAAUUGACGUUUGAUUUCAUUUUGCAAUGAUUAUAUUACAAUUGAAAUUAUUAAAACAUGUUUAUAAUAAGUUUGCAAAAAAUCGAUGAAUGUGUGUAUAUAUGUUGUUAGUGUUAUUUGUAUGUGAGUACACGCAUAAAGGUCCAUGGGUAUUUUUUAGUCACAAUGUAUAUAUGUGGUAUGAAUGUACAUGUAUAUUUUAUAAAUAGGUAUGUGCAUAGUCAUUAGAACUAGCCAGAAUAUUGACUCCGUUGAGGUACUAGAUCUAGGGUUACUGAUGAAACCGCUAGGUCCAUGCUUAAAAAUUAUAUAUAUUUAUUAAAAAUAUAAUUUAUUCUGAGAUGAUUAAAGUUUUAAAAUUAUUUGUUCGAAUUAUUUGUUAUAAACUAGAGUGAAACCAAUAAAUUUGUAUGUAUUAUAAUGAGAGUCAAAGCCCCGUAUUUUUUUAGAAGAAUUAGGACUACAGGGGACACAACUGUCAUAAUGACUAGGACUACAAGAAUAUAAAAGUCAUUCAUAAAUACUACUAUAUUUUACAACACUUCACCUUAAAUAACUAUUUACUCAAUAAUUAUCUUAUUGAAAUAUUAUUUGGCAAAGAUUAGACAAAAAUGCCAACAAAUGAAAAAAAUAAUUUGGAGUAAUAAAAUACUAUCUCGUUAAAACCUUGUUAAGAAAACCCAAUGGAACAAAACUUGAUUGAAGGACAAAGAGUACAACUACUUCCUCUGAUUUUAAUUCUUGUAUUAAAAGAUCCAUGCCUUGUACAUCAAUGUCUUCAGUAUCAUAUCUUUUACAUCAAUGUCUUCGAAUAACAGCAUUUUCAUACAAAAUAUUUAUCAACAUUUAAUUAUUGUAGUAACAUGAUAAUUCGAAAAAUAGCUCUUACCAAUCUGUUCAUGAGUCUUAUAUAUAUAGGAGUAUAUUUUGAGGGUAAAUAUCUUGUAUAUUACAAACAUUCAUCACGCAAAGAAUAUGCCUAAUUAAAGCCCUUUUAGGAAAAACUCUAUGGGAAAAUCCCAAUGAAGGAAUAAAGUAUUAUUCUUUGGAUACGCUAUAAAAAUUGUCAUGACAAAAACAUUGCCAGGAAAACAGGGGAACAAACCUUAGUCAAGGAAAAAAGAGUUCGUGUCGGUCGUGUUUUAUAACUAUAUCUAUGUGCGCAUUAUAUGUAUAUGUUUAUGUGUGUAUAUAUGUAGGCUUGUGUGGGUAUUUUUAUGCAGGUAGCUAUAUAUAAAUAUAUAUGUCCCUACGUAUAUAGGCUUGCAUAUAUAUAUAUAUAUAUUAUACCUAUGUUUGAGCUCCAUUUUUUUUAAUUGAAAACGAGUUUUAUAAGUAUGAAUUUUUGAAGAAUAUAUUGUUAAAAAGUGAACUAAAUAUUUUGAAUUUGUGUUCAAAAUAUUUUAUUAUAAAUAUGUGUGGUUGAAAAUGAGUUUGUUAAAAGAUGAUUUUUUUUGAUAAUAUAAAUCAAACAGGGUCUAUAUGUAUCUAAACAUGAAUCUGUGUUGUAGUUUGUGUAUAUAUGUUCUUUUUAUAAUUUUCUUGAAUGGCUUAUUAGUUUGAUAGUUAUUAAUUAGUUUGUAUCUAAUGAAUUUAUGAUGUCCUUUUACAAUGAAUUCGAAAUAUAUUUUUAUGAAUCUUAAUAAUUUUGUUUACAUAAAGGGUUUUAUAAAAAUCAAUAUGUAAAAUUAAUUUAAUAGAAUAAUGUUUGAGGUUUAUAUUUAAACAGUGCAUUUUGAAGAAAUUUCUAAAUUAAUGGUAAUGCAUUAGAAUUUUGGGCACAUUUAUUUCGAAAUAAUGUUAUUUGUAGUCCUUUACUACUCUAGUUCUUCUACAUGGCUGUUAGUGAAUUGAUGCAUAUGGCAGUAAAAAACUAACACAAUAAUGCAUCAAAUUAUUAACCGCCACAUGUAUGUCACAUAGGGCGUGAGUGAUAGCAAAUAGUAUUACUCUUUUAUUUUAUGGGUGGUUAAGAAUAUCUCCACCCAUCAUUUGAAAAAUAAAUUUACUCAGAUCAAUGUAAGUAAACCUUCUCGUAUUUUCAUGCGUAAGUCGUAUGAUUAAAUGUAUACACGUGUUUCCUAAGUUGUCAUUAUGUAAGCAUGAUACUUGAUUAUUAACUUUUAUGUCAUUAAAGCUUCUUAUGAAAUAUUCAUAAAUGCCAAUGCACCCAUAAGCAUAUAUGAAGUUUCAAAACAUAAAAAGUUUUCAAAUGUCAAUGAAUAAAAAAAUAUUUGAAAAAGAUGUGUCUUGAAUGUUUUUGUUAAGAGGUAUAUGCCUAUGCUAUGAAAGUUGUGAUUGGAAAAUUGGGGGUGGUGGACCGACACAUUCGACCAAUGUUUAAUAAUGAAGGUUUAAUGUUUAAUAUUAACCACUUUGCAACUCUUAAGGUAGAAUAAAUUGGGCUCCAAAUAACAAUAGUCCACUAUAUUUUGAUUGGCUAGACGAUGCACCAAGUAAACCGACAAUAUCGAAGUUAAAGUUUUUAAAGAAAUUGAAGAAAAUGGGAUACACAUUGGAAAAAUGUAUUUAUUUUAAAGUAAUUCAUAUGCACAUAACAUAUUUGAGGAUUUAUUUCAUUUUGUAAUAAUGAAAUCCUUUAAUUUAAUCAUCUUAUUUUUUUAUUAAGUAAAAUUGUUCUCUACUAUUUAUUUUGCACAAAUAAAAUCAUUAAUUUUUAUUAUAUUAGAAAAAUCUAAUUGUUUUCCACAUUUAUGAUUUUAAGCGAAAAUUAAAUGAUAAUAAUUCCAAAUCUAGUGUAUCUAGAUUUUGGGUGUUACAUGUUUCAUCUAUAAACUUGUCGACUUCUCCAAUGGAGAGGCUUGGAAUUCUGACUGUAUAGCUUGCAAAUCAAUGCCAUCAUCUAUUAGACAUUUUUCUUCUAUACUUAUCAUCUCCGCGUCAACUAUAGAUGUUUUACCUAAUACCUCAUCAUUUUAGCUUUAUCUUCUGACGGGGGAGGUACUAACAUUAGGAUAGUAGCUUCAGAGAUGGGGUUACUAUAACCAACAUUGUUGACCUUGUCCAAGUGACAUGGUCAUAUUGGACUUUUCAAUUUGUAAGAGUACUAGAAAAAAUAUACUUUAAUGUCAUUUCGAGAUUGAAGGGCGAGUCUAGGACUUGGUUGAUCUUUCGAAUGAUAGGACAGCUAUUGGGAACAAAUGGAUUUCCAAGAUAAAACAAAGAGCUGAUGGGACUAUAGAGAGGUACAAGGUUUUCUUGGUAGUGAAGAGUUACCCUCAAUAAGACGGUAUAGAUAAUGUGGAGGCCUUUCAACCAGUAGUGAGAUUUACUUAAUUUGCCUAAUCUUAGCCAUAGCGACAUGUUUAGAUUUAGAGUUACAUCAACUUGACAUGAAGAUUGCUUUUCUCAAUGGAGAAUUAUAUGAAGAAAUCUACACAUAACAACCAGUAGAUUUCAUUAAAAUACGUCAAGAGAAUAAAGUUUGUAAAUUGAAAAGAUCAAUCUAUGGUAAUUUUAUUUGAAAAGAUCACACAAUUUUGUCACGAUUAACGAAUUUAUUUGAAAAAGCCCAAUAUGUUCUUUUCAAUUUACAAACUUUGUGAAUAUGUUCCAUUCGCUUUGAUGAGCUUUCAAGAUGAGAUUUCAAAAACUAAUCAACAUGUAUUUUACUAUUCAUUAAAUCUAUUUAAUAGCUAGAUCAAGUUCCCGAUUGAGAUUGCCUAGAUGAAUAAAUAUAUAGAUAACUCCUAUUUUAUCUGACACCCCAGCUUGUAUUCACCCACUGGACAAAUGCAUUUACUAUUUCACUUUUGCAACACAAUUGUGAAUAUAACAUAAAUGAUAAAGUUGAUUAUUUUCAUUGAUUAAUUGAGGGGGCUAGAAAUACUCGAACUGGUGUUAUGAGAUACAUUUGAGUUACAGCGAGAAUUAAUUUCCUCUUAUAGAGCUACUAUCUAUCCCUAACAUGCUAUAUAUAUCCCUAACGUGCGUAUAUUGUUGUGUACUCUUAAAUUAAAUUGUUGGAAUAAACGGGUCCCCUAUGUGGGUUGACUCGACUGGAAUUGAACGUAAAUGGGAGGGAGGAGUUUGAAAUUCAGUUUGAAACUCAACCUCCCACAACCCACAACUUCCAUAGACAACCUCCAUUGUACCCAUAUCAUAUAAAAAAUAUAUAUAUAAUUCGUGUGUGAAGAAAAAGAUGAGAAACACAUAUAGGCUAUGACUUGAUUUGGAAGUAUAACAUCUUAAAUUUGGUCUUUGGAUUGUGGCUAUCAAACUCCUUCCCGUGUGAUUGAAUUUCUAACCAAAAAGUGAGUACAAAGUAGAAUAGGAAGUAAGCAAAAGGAAGGUAAGUUAUUUAACAUCAUUUUUGUGAUUUCAAGUAAGUUUCACUCGUGGGAAUUCGGUUAUAAGCAUGCAAGUACAUUUUACAAACAAAAAUAAGGGGUUUACUAUCAUGAAUUUUCCUAGCAAUAGUUAAAUAUACUAACAUAUAGAAUAAUGCUAGCAUUUGUGGCUUAGGUUGAUCAACAACUUGAGCAAUUGGAUGUAAAAACUGCCAUUUUAGAUUGUGAGCUUGAAGAAAAUAACUUUUUUGUGUCAACUUGAAAGUUUUGUGAAGAAAAGUGAAUUAGAUUCCUAUUCAUCUUCUAAAGAAAACAAUGUGGUUUAAAAAAAUUAUACUGAAAAAUGGUAUAAAAGGUUUAUUAGCUCAUUUGUUCAACUAAUUGGCUUCAAAAGAAGUAAUUAUGGCAUUGUUUAUAUUUUAAAACAAGUAGAAAGAACAUGUUUUUUUUUUUUUUUAAUACUUGUUACCAUAUGAUGACAAUACGUUAUUUAUAAGUCGUAAUAUGUAUGAAAUAAAUGGAAUUAAGAAAAAUUCAAAUAAUGAAAUUGAGAAAAGGACAUAAUUAAUGCUAAAAAUAAAAAAAUAGUUGGUAUUGAUAUACUAAGGAAUAGAAUACACCGUUCUUGUAUUGAAACAAUAUUCUUAUAACAAAAAAGUGUUAACUAACUAUUAGAUGACUGAAACUAAUGUGACUUCAAUACUUUUAGCAGGUCAUUUUACCUUAGUAAAGAUGUCCUUCAACUUGAGAAGAAAUAGACCACAUGAAAAAGGUCUCAUACUCUAACGAUAUAGGUACAGUGAUGUACACUAUGAUAUGUACAAGGCCUACAAGGCAACCAAUAUACUUAGUAUUUACUUGAAUACCCCUUGAACUUUUAACAUUCGGCAGCUAUGUGGUUCCUAAGAUAUCGUAAUGGAACUUCAACUUUAGGGCUAAUCCUUAAAAAAGUAAUGAGUGGAUAAAGUUAAAAGGGUAUGUAAAUUGUAACAGUGCGGGUGAUAGGAUAAAAUAAAAUCUACUUUGUCCUAUGUGUCUACGUCGUGUGGUGCUUGUAUUUUUUAUGGUUCAGUAUGCUAAAUGUCAGUAAACCAGAAGCUUUCUCAAGUGGUGUGAUCAAGAGGGUGAAGAGGAACGACUAUAGCAUUGUGUGUUCGAUAUGGAAGAAACUCUAUAUGGAGACAUCGAAAACUUCAAAGUUAAGAAGGGGAUUGUUAAGAUUUUGACUUGAUAUUGUUUAACAAGAAUGUGAUUGUAUUUGUGUAUCAAAAUAUGGGUUUUAAUUUUUCAAUCGUAAAGGGAUUGUUCAGAAUCCCAAAUUGGCUAAGAAACUAACAGCCCCUCCAUUUGCCGUCCUAUAUAAAGGAUUCUCUUUUAUGCUUCAUUUAUUACAAUUUGGAGUUAGUCAUGGGUUAUAGUGCAUCGGAGUCAUGCACUCUGAGUAGACCUCCACCGGAAACGUAAGCAUUAAGAUAUGAAGGCUUCUUAUUCCACAAUAGCAAAUACACUUUUUCACUCUUUCAUAUACUAGGGGAUUUCACUUGGAAAAGAAAGAAAUUGUUGAACUUCAGGCACCAAUUAAUUGGGGUGAACAUAUCUUGUUCUUCUUCUCGAUUUUCUAUUGAUUUUACAUUUUGCAAUUUACGUUUGUGCUACUCAACAAACCUAAGACUAGAGAAUAAUAAAAGAUAGUGAAAUUUAACUAAUCCAUAUUACACUUCAACAUUGACCACAUAAAGUUCGAUAGAGCAAAAUGUGAAAACAGAAAACUGCAAACAGAUUUCGAAGCAAUCUCCAGAUUUUGUAUUCUGACUAGAAAAUAAUGAAAGGUAGAGCAUUUGACUAAUCAAUUUUAGGCUUCAACAUUGGCAGCUUAAAGUUUCCC
This 16122-nucleotide long non-coding RNA is filed under the name Olea europaea (common olive). RNAcentral's name for it is "long non-coding RNA (OEUR_LNC007641)". The record is from RNAcentral. Lineage: Eukaryota; Viridiplantae; Streptophyta; Magnoliopsida; Lamiales; Oleaceae.